CCUACGGUGCACCAGGCGCGAAACCUUUACACUGCGGGAAACCGCGACAAGGGGACACCGAGUGCCAGCAUACAAUGCUGGCUGUCCAUAUGUGUAAAUAGCAUGUGAUAGCAAGGGCCGGGCAAGACCGGUGCCAGCCGCCGCGGUAACACCGGCGGCCCGAGUGGUAAUCACUAUUAUUGGGUCUAAAGGGUCCGUAGCCGGUUUAAUCAGUCUUCCGGGAAAUCUGACAGCUCAACUGUUAGGCUCCCGGGGGAUACUGUUAGGCUUGGGACCGGGAGAGGUAAGAGGUACUACAGGGGUAGGAGUGAAAUCUUGUAAUCCCUGUGGGACCACCAGUGGCGAAGGCGUCUUACCAGAACGGGUCCGACGGUGAGGGACGAAAGCUGGGGGCACGAACCGGAUUAGAUACCCCUGUAGUC
Molecule: ribosomal RNA, 422 nt
Filed under: uncultured archaeon
Lineage: Archaea
Description: bacterial SSU rRNA
Rfam family: Archaeal small subunit ribosomal RNA
Source: RNAcentral